ACUAACAACUCGAGGGCAAAUGAUGGGAACAGUCUCUUGUUUAUGUGACAAAUAUGUAACAGGGAAGAGUGCUAUAACUGCGAUGGCUUUGGGGGUAUAGAUGGUGAUCUUUAAAUUGCCUCCCUUCUUCUUGCUGUUCCCUAGGCCACACCGUCAUGAUGGUUAGUGUCUUAAACGACUUGCAUGUGUAUAUUUGGUCACAACACUGCCUGGCUGCUGAGUCCCUGAAUGAGGCCCCAGGGGACACGCCUGCACAGGAGGCCUGUUCUAUUUACCACUGAGCUACGGGCACCAUAUUUUAAAGUACGGUGGGGCGCAGGGUCCAGUGAAUGAAACAUUUCCCAAUCGCUAGCUUCUGCCCAGAAGAAGAGCUGUUGAGGACUCAGGGGAUAUAUGCAGUUAAAGAAAUUCAGGUAAACAUGAUGUCAAGUGGAUACUAGGUAUGCUUCAGGUUAAAAGGAGGAGCAUAUAUUAUCACUCAUGAAAUGCAUUCAUAAUAGAGAGGCAAGAGGAAGUAGGCAGAGAUGGAACACCACACUGGAUGACUAAUCUCUCUCCUUACCUCACUCCCAUACUGAAAAUGAAUUUCCAUUUGAUGCCUUGAAAUCUAAAAUGAAACUUGCUCGUCUCAAAUAAAAACAGGAGCUUCGAUAAAUAUUUCAGAACAAAAAUCAUGUUUGAAUCGAACUAG
Long non-coding RNA from Fukomys damarensis (Damara mole-rat), 691 nucleotides. RefSeq lists it as uncharacterized. The record is from RefSeq and is a predicted model, not a curated record. The transcript has 3 exons. NCBI's taxonomy places the organism in Eukaryota, Metazoa, Chordata, Mammalia, Rodentia, Bathyergidae.